CCGGAGACACAAUCCGCAGCCCCUGGGUCUGUGCAGUGACCAGCCAGUCUCCUGAGAACUUUCCCCUCCAACACUCGGAAAAAUGAGGAUUUGGCUCCAUUUCGUUUUCAUUGUAGCAGCUCUGGGAGGCGCGCGGCCCCAGGUGCAGCUGGUGGAGUCCGGAGGGGAUGUGAAAAAGCCCGGAGACUCUCUCCGCCUCUCCUGCAAAGCCUCCGGGUUCACCUUCGGUGACUACUCGAUGAGCUGGGUCCGGCAGGCUCCUGGCAAGGGCCUGGACUGGGUGGCACGUAUAAGCUACUUGGCCGGCAGCACUGUGCGUUACGCCGACGCGGUCAAAGGCCGAUUCACCAUCUCCAGAGACAACCCCAACAACCUGCUGUAUCUGCAAAUGACCGGCCUGAAGCCCGAGGACACCGCCCGCUAUUACUGUGCGAGAGACACAGUGAGGCGAAGCCGGGCUGAGCUCAGACAAAAACCUCCCGUUGCGGUCAGCAGGGAAAGUCCCAGCUGGUGAGAGCCUGACACUCCCGGGACUGGAAACUGAAAAGAGGAAACAGCGUGUUCAUGUCAAGGUGCCCUGCUCUGGCCAAAUACAGCUUCAGCCAAGGCACAGGUCCAGGGGCCGGCCCCCUCCUGAGUGAAAAGGGCUGGACCUGGACCUUUCCCUCUGAUUUUUAAUCAAUUC
Molecule: non-coding RNA, 685 nt
Organism: Mauremys mutica (yellowpond turtle)
Lineage: Eukaryota; Metazoa; Chordata; Testudines; Geoemydidae
Source: the annotation of a RefSeq genome assembly